Molecule: ribosomal RNA, 497 nt
Filed under: uncultured bacterium
Lineage: Bacteria
Description: partial 16S ribosomal RNA
Rfam family: Bacterial small subunit ribosomal RNA
Source: RNAcentral
GAUGAACGCUGGCGGCGUGCCUAAUACAUGCAAGUCGAGCGAACAGACGAGGAGCUUGCUCCUCUGACGUUAGCGGCGGACGGGUGAGUAACACGUGGAUAACCUACCUAUAAGACUGGGAUAACUUCGGGAAACCGGAGCUAAUACCGGAUAAUAUAUUGAACCGCAUGGUUCAAUAGUGAAAGACGGUUUUGCUGUCACUUAUAGAUGGAUCCGCGCCGCAUUAGCUAGUUGGUAAGGUAACGGCUUACCAAGGCAACGAUGCGUAGCCGACCUGAGAGGGUGAUCGGGCACACUGGAACUGAGACACGGUCCAGACUCCUACGGGAGGCAGCAGUAGGGAAGCUUCCGCAAUGGGCGAAAGCGUGACGGAGCAACGCCGCGUGAGUGAUGAAGGUCUUCGGAUCGUAGAACUCUGUUAUUAGGGUAGAACAAAUGUGUAAGUAACUAUGCACGUCUUGACGGUACCUGAACAGAAAGCCACGGCUAACUACGUG